This 75-nucleotide transfer RNA is filed under the name Clostridiales bacterium. RNAcentral's name for it is "tRNA-Gln". It matches the Rfam family "tRNA". From Rfam's summary of the family: Transfer RNA (tRNA) molecules are approximately 80 nucleotides in length. Their secondary structure includes four short double-helical elements and three loops (D, anti-codon, and T loops). The record is from RNAcentral. Lineage: Bacteria; Bacillati; Bacillota; Clostridia; Eubacteriales.
UGGGGUGUAGCCAAGUGGUAAGGCUUCGGAUUCUGAUUCCGACAUGCGGGAGUUCAAAUCUCUCCACCCCAACCA